CGCCGUCUUCGCGACGAAGGAGGCUGCCCAUUGCGUCCCACCCCACCAGAAAGCCAAACACUGGCCUACAUCGGAAUCUUAAAGCGACUUUAUUUUUAAGCAAUCUCUACACCUAACAUGGGGCUUGAACUCACCGCCCCGAGAUCAAGAGUUGCAUGCUCUUCUGACUGAGCCGGCCAGGUGCCCAAGUUAAACCUUUUUAAAGGCAGAGAUGGUCUAAUU
RNAcentral lists this long non-coding RNA (222 nucleotides) under Felis catus (domestic cat). RNAcentral's name for it is "lncRNA (ENSFCAG00000048075.1)". Lineage: Eukaryota; Metazoa; Chordata; Mammalia; Carnivora; Felidae. The record is from RNAcentral.